This 675-nucleotide long non-coding RNA is filed under the name Rattus norvegicus (Norway rat). RNAcentral's name for it is "long non-coding RNA NONRATT011450". The record is from RNAcentral. Lineage: Eukaryota; Metazoa; Chordata; Mammalia; Rodentia; Muridae.
GUGCUUCACCCUUCGCUCUAGAGACGCAUCUCCUGGUUCCCACUCCUCGCUCACCCUUCUGCCUGGCUCUAUGCUCCAGCGUUUUACCCGACCCGGUCACCUACCUGCUCAGGACCCGGGGCAAGGUGGUCCAAGCACCCGCCGCCACCUCCAGAUUGCCUACAGCAACUCCAGGAAGAGAAGGGAGGACAAGCAGAGAGACCCAGCCGCGCAGAGACCCAGCCGCGCGGGCUGUCUGGACAAACACUCGGGCCCAGAAGGACACUCGGCGUCCAGAUCACAGCCCUGGCCCGCCCCGCCGCGCCCACAUGCUGGGGUGACUGACUGGGCGCUCCCUCAAGGCCCCUCCCGGGUGCUGGAGGCGCUCCAGGGCCAGUAGGCAAGGCUUGGCUGCCUUGGUCCAGUGACAGCAAGGCCACUAGUCCUUGGCUAAUCUAGAGUGCUGUCUACAGUCUGGGGUAGUUUGCCCUGACACCUCAGGGGGGGUCUGUGGGACUUACUAAUUACAAUUGUCCACACUUGACUUGUUAGGUGGAGCCUGCAAUGGCAGGCAGGCAGGGUCCAUCUGGGAACCUGGGUCCUGCAGCCAAGUUGGCUGCAGUUCUGUGACUGCGUUUCUACAGCUUACUUUUUCCUUCUCUUUUGUUGACAUUAAGUAAAUUAUCAAACUCUGAA